CUAGUAUCGCGAACGUAUGCUAAUUUAACGUAUUAUUCGUGUGUUUUCUUAGUUUUAGUAAUUAAUUACAAUUUAAGAAUAAGUGAUUUAUGCACUUUCGUCUUUCGCGUCGUUUAACGAAAGUAUUUAAGAUUUGAUACACACUGGUGAGGAGUUUUUGGAAGCAAAUUGGUGGAAUGGGCCUUCGUUUCGGACUUAGACAGGAAAUCACCGCCAUGGGUAUAUUCUAUGAGAUUCUAUGUGCUGUUCGUCACGGUGGUAUACAUAUACGUCGUCAUUCAAUUCGUACCAAGGUUCGUCAAGGUUAAUCUGAUUAAUUAGGCGUUGGUCGCAAUCUGAUCGUGAUGAGUAGUCGUAGUCCAGUCGAUGAAUGUUGUUGUUUUAACGUUUUAUUGUGUUGUAUGGAAAAUGCGUGAAGAGAAAUUCAUUUUUGUGGGAUAAACAGGGAAUCAAGAUAAGCAUCCAUUUUAAAAAAAGAUUAUUACGAGUAUUUGUUUGGAGUAUGGUACCAAACGUGAACAAUGUGUGAGGCGAAAAAGUUGAAACGUCUAAGAGAUCGAUGGAAAUAUCAUGGAUAAGAAAAGGUUACAAAUCAGGUGAUUUUGGAAAAGCAAGAGAACAAUGGGAGCUAUGGAAAUCGACAAGAAAAAAAAAGAGGAGAUAAGAUGGUACGACAUCUUCUGAGACAUGAAGUUGCAGCUACAGACUUAUUAUCAGCAGAAACUGGAGUAAAGAGGGGCAGAAGAAGACCUAGAAAUAGAGGUGCAUGCAGAACUAAUGAACCUAUGAUGAGUACGAAUUUCCACCAUAUGCUGGACUUCUACCAUCUUCUACUGAAGUAGAUGACUGGACCACUUUUACGUCUUCUCAAAGUUAAUAACUUCCAUGGUGGUAACUGCAUUCAAAAAUUCGAGUACAUUGUUGAUGUUGGACUACUACCGUCUUCUAUUCAACUUCCAGGGUGGCAACUACAUUCUAAAAUACGAAUAUGUCCCUGAUGCUGGACUACUACCAUCUUCUACUGGAGUAAGAAAAAUGGACCAGUUCUUCAUAAGACCAUUUCUUCAAUUGGGCACAUAAUUUUUUAAUCAAAAGUGGAUUUAUUGAGACAAUUUUCUAUUUUAACUAAAAUUUGUAUCAGUU
This is a long non-coding RNA of Agrilus planipennis (emerald ash borer), 1143 nucleotides long. RefSeq lists it as uncharacterized. Lineage: Eukaryota; Metazoa; Arthropoda; Insecta; Coleoptera; Buprestidae. The transcript has 7 exons. The record is from RefSeq and is a predicted model, not a curated record.